AUUGAACGCUGGCGGCAGGCCUAACACAUGCAAGUCGAACGGUAACAGGAAGAAGCUUGCUUCUUUGCUGACGAGUGGCGGACGGGUGAGUAAUGUCUGGGAAACUGCCUGAUGGAGGGGGAUAACUACUGGAAACGGUAGCUAAUACCGCAUAACGUCGCAAGACCAAAGAGGGGGACCUUCGGGCCUCUUGCCAUCGGAUGUGCCCAGAUGGGAUUAGCUAGUAGGUGGGGUAACGGCUCACCUAGGCGACGAUCCCUAGCUGGUCUGAGAGGAUGACAAGCCACCAUGGAACUGAGAAACGGCCCAAGCCCUAACGGGGGGCAGAGGGGGGGAAUUUUGAACAUGGGGGGCAACCCUGAGGCAGCCAGGCCGGGGGUAUGAAGAAGGCCUUCGGGUGGUAAAGUCCUUUCAGGGGGGAGGAAGGGAGAAAAGUUAAACCCUUGGCUCAUUGACGUUACCCGAAGAAGAAGCACCGGCUAACUCCGG
RNAcentral lists this ribosomal RNA (489 nucleotides) under uncultured bacterium. Its description in RNAcentral is "partial 16S ribosomal RNA". It matches the Rfam family "Bacterial small subunit ribosomal RNA", at positions 29 to 506 of the family's 1533-position model. The record is from RNAcentral.